This 310-nucleotide unclassified non-coding RNA is filed under the name Sebacina sp. RNAcentral describes it as "partial contains 5.8S ribosomal RNA, internal transcribed spacer 2, and large subunit ribosomal RNA". The stretch from base 1 to 52 matches the Rfam family "5.8S ribosomal RNA", at positions 103 to 154 of the family's 154-position model. The record is from RNAcentral. Lineage: Eukaryota; Fungi; Basidiomycota; Agaricomycetes; Sebacinales; Sebacinaceae.
AACGCACAUUGCGCCUUUUGGUAUUCCGAGAGGCACGCCUGUCUGAGCGUCAGUAUAACCCUUCGGUGGUAAAAUCUUUUUUAUCAGCCGGUGUUGGCGUUGGGUAAAGGAGUGCAACACCUCCCUAUGCCCCGCUUAAACUACUGACAGCGGGUACAAAUUUGUUUUUUCGUACAGCGAUAGUAGAAAUAUGAUCGCGAGUAUUCGAACAAAUCCGCUAUAUAAAAUCUUUUGGGAUGGUUCGCAAGAGCCCUACCCCCCAAAUCAGAAUUUUGACCUCAGAUCAGACGAGGAUACCCGCUGAACUUAA